This is a long non-coding RNA of Pongo pygmaeus (Bornean orangutan), 1191 nucleotides long. RefSeq lists it as uncharacterized. The record is from RefSeq and is a predicted model, not a curated record. Lineage: Eukaryota; Metazoa; Chordata; Mammalia; Primates; Hominidae. The transcript is spliced from 5 exons.
GGGUUUAAAUGCUGCUGUGCAGUCACUCACUCAACAAAUGAUUGAAAUAUAUAUAACUACAAAGAAAACCAUCACAAGAUGCUUUGAUGGCAGUCAUCAACAGCCAGGCUGAGGCUGCUCUCUUGGAGUGGUGUAGAUCAGGAGUUCUGAAAACAACAAGAACAACAAGAACAACAACAACAACGUAUGGUCAACUGAUGAGAGUCAGAAUCUCUGUGGGCCAAGAAGUGAGACUUGUUUUGUCGCUCACUGUGAGAAGAUUUGAAACGAAGAUUUCAAAGAACUGGUCUCUGAUGAAUGGCAUUGGGAUGUUGAGGUCUGGAAAAAGAUGGGAAAAAGGACUUCAGCUUUCAUCAAGAGCCCUCCUCUAAGAAACACUUGAUGUAUUAUUUCAUGCAUCUCUGUGAGUCUGUGGUUUCAGAAAAGACUUUUUGUAAGAGCUAAGUCUAAAAGACUUAGCUCAGUUUGCUUAGUCAAGAAGGGUACAGCUGGAUAAAAAGAACACGAACAACAACAACAACAACAAAAAGCCCAAAUAAUGGAACAACAAAAAAACUGUGAAGGAUAGUGUCAUUGGGAGUGACAAGAGGACAACUUCUAGAAUUAUUGCUGCAAAGAUCCAGUUAUCCUCACAGGGAGUGAGUGAAAAAAAGUGGGAAGAAACUAACUUAAUUCUAAGAAAUGAGGAGGAUUACAGAUCCCAGAAGAUAAUCAAGUGCUUCAAGACAGUUGAUUAAGCCAAAUUAUAUGUGGUAGAGAAAGAUUUGUGGAGCAGUUUCAGAAUAUAUACACGUCUGUCUGUUGAAUGUAUUCCUUCCUCUUACAUGGAAGCCAGGGUAAUUGUAUGUGAUAAAGAUCACUUGUAAAUGAAAACUUUGGAGGUUACAGAAGAAGUAAAUGUCAGAAAUGAAGGAAAACAAUAGCAGGUAAAGGAAAGAAAGAGAGGAAUCGCAGAAAUGAGAAAAACUGAAAAGGAAAGAAAGCAGAGACCACUAAUUAGAAGUCGAGCAUCUUGGAGGAUGAAAUUAUGCCAUAUUUUUCUUCCCUUGGUCGUUUUUGAUGUCUUGAGGGGAUCCUAUCAGCUGGGGAUACAGAGAGACUCCUACUGACUUCAGCCUUCAUGCACACAUAUGAAAGGAGAAACCAUGUAGCUGAUCCAGCCUGGAGACCAUUGAUGAUAGCCUGGAUGAU